CCUACGGGAGGCUGCAGUGGGGAAUAUUGCACAAUGGGGGAAACCCUGAUGCAGCGACGCCGCGUGAGUGAAGAAGUAAUUCGGUAUGUAAAGCUCUAUCAGCAGGGAAGAAAGUGACGGUACCUGAGUAAGAAGCCCCGGCUAACUACGUGCCAGCAGCCGCGGUAAUACGUAGGGGGCAAGCGUUAUCCGGAUUUACUGGGUGUAAAGGGAGCGUAGACGGCAGUGCAAGUCUGGAGUGAAAGGCGGGGGCUCAACCCCCGGACUGCUCUUGAAACUGUACGGCUGGAGUGCAGGAGAGGUAAGUGGAAUUCCGAGUGUAGCGGUGAAAUGCGUAGAUAUGAGGAGGAACACCAGUGGCGAAGGCGGCUCACUGGACUGUAACUGACGUUGAGGCUCGAAAGCGUGGGGAGCAAACAGGAUUAGAUACCCGUGUAGUC
RNAcentral lists this ribosomal RNA (440 nucleotides) under uncultured bacterium. RNAcentral describes it as "partial 16S ribosomal RNA". It matches the Rfam family "Bacterial small subunit ribosomal RNA", at positions 338 to 795 of the family's 1533-position model. The record is from RNAcentral.